CCCAGAAUUGGUUGUCACAUGUACAAACCUCUAAUACGGAAUCUGAAUAAAAUAUACAAGUCUCAUAGUAAAGUUCUAGAAUAGAACAGAACAGUAAAUAUAGAUAACUUGAGGGCACGUCUGGAAUGAACCGCUACCUCUCAAGUAAGUCUGGAAGCUCUAAUAUGAAGAUGAGUAAUAAGCCGGAUCUGAUAGAGCUGUCAACCUACACAACUGUGUAGAAGCAAGGGUGAGUACCAAAAGCAACAGGUACUCGCAAGUAACACUAAACUAAGCUAAACUAGCAGCUACAAACAACUCCUUUCAAUCCCAACCGAACCACCGAAACUUCAUUCUAACAGCGAACCAACAACCUAUACUACACAAUUCAUAAUCAACAGAUAUAUCCAACAGUAUCUCAACAUCAACCUCAUAUCCUCAUAUAAGAGCAAAUAGAUCAUAUAUCACAUGAAGAGGAGCAAGUAGGUAAAAUCCACACACCACAGACAAAGAUGAAGUCAAAUGCGAUGCAAAUGCAAUAAUGAUGUCAUGUAGUCGUGAUGCAUGUCUGUCCUAAGAUACACAUCUGUUGACGUAAUCAGACCGCGCUGAAUACUCAAAUCAGAACCCAUGGGGGCCACACAUGGACCAUGUAUCACCGCCGGAACCAGAUCCCAUCGGCAUCCAAAUCGCUAGCCGGAGCUAGUCCAUCUCAUAUAUCUCUAGCCGGAGCUAGUCUCAACUGUGUCUCAUAUCCAUCCAUCCUCAUAUCAGUGUCUCAGAACUCAUGCAACAGAUAGUUCACACAUGGGAUGAAUAAUGAAUAUGCACAUGUCAUCAAUCACAAUCAUAUCACGAUCACAUCAUAGUAUUACACAUCAUCUGUCUCAACAUCAAUGUCUGUAUCAAUCAUAACCUACUCAUGCUCUUCUAUCCCCUCAAUAUCAGUUAUCACAUGACUUAUUCAACAAAUUCAAGUCACAUAUAACACAUUUAGCUCGUUUUAUUCCCCAUCUUUCAUUUACAACAAUUCCAAUCAACAAAUAAAACCCAUCCUCAAUCCCCAUUACUCCCCAACACAAUUAGGAAAGUAGUCAUGUGUAGUCUAAGAGUUUAACAAAGUUUAGAAGUCACUUGCCUCAAAACACUUCAACUAGUAACUCAAAUUUGAGUUUUACCCUUCCGAGCACGCUCCAAAUCACCACAAUCCAAUGAAUUCCUUGCG
This 1204-nucleotide long non-coding RNA is filed under the name Solanum tuberosum (potato). RNAcentral describes it as "long non-coding RNA (STUB_LNC003552)". Lineage: Eukaryota; Viridiplantae; Streptophyta; Magnoliopsida; Solanales; Solanaceae. The record is from RNAcentral.